This 801-nucleotide ribosomal RNA is filed under the name marine metagenome. RNAcentral's name for it is "bacterial SSU rRNA". It matches the Rfam family "Bacterial small subunit ribosomal RNA", at positions 8 to 857 of the family's 1533-position model. The record is from RNAcentral.
AGAGUUUGAUUAUGGCUCAGAACGAACGCUGGCGGCAUGCCUCAUACAUGCAAGUCGAACGAGGUCUUCGGACCUAGUGGCGCACGGGUGAGUAACAUGUGGGAAUCUACCUGAAGGUUCGGAAUAACUGCGGGAAACUGUAGCUAAUACCGGAUGUGUCUGCAAAGAGAAAGAUUUAUCGCCUUCAGAUGAGCCCGCACUAGAUUAGCUAGUUGGUGAGGUAAUUGCUCCACCAAGGCUCCGAUCUAUAGCUGAUUUGAGAGGAUGAUCAGCCACACUGGGACUGAGACACGGCCCAGACUCCUACGGGAGGCAGCAGUAGGGAAUAUUGGACAAUGGGGGAAACCCUGAUCCAGCAAUGCCGCGUGAGUGAAGAAGGCCUUCGGGUUGUAAAGCUCUUUCAUCAAUGAUGAUAAUGACAUUAGUUGAAGAAGAAGCCCCGGCUAACUUCGUGCCAGCAGCCGCGGUAAUACGAAGGGGGCUAGCGUUGUUCGGAAUCACUGGGCGUAAAGCGUAUGUAGGCGGAUCAAAAAGUUAGAUGUGAAAUCCCUGGGCUCAACCCAGGAACUGCAUUUAAAACUAGUGAUCUAGAAUUUGGUAGGGGUUAGUAGAAUUUCCAGUGUAGAGGUGAAAUUCGUAGAUAUUGGAAAGAAUACCAGUGGCGAAGGCGACUAACUGGGCCAUUUUUGACGCUGAGAUACGAAAGCGUGGGUAGCAAACAGGAUUAGAUACCCUGGUAGUCCACGCAGUAAACGAUGAGUGCUAGUCGCUGGGACAAUAGUUUCAGUGUCGAAGCUAACG